Centruroides sculpturatus (bark scorpion) is the source of this 446-nucleotide long non-coding RNA. RefSeq lists it as uncharacterized. The transcript has 4 exons. Lineage: Eukaryota; Metazoa; Arthropoda; Arachnida; Scorpiones; Buthidae. The record is from RefSeq and is a predicted model, not a curated record.
CAACCAUUUCCAUUGAAUAAAUUGAUUGAAAUAUUUAGUUUUAAGAAAGUAGCAUUUCGUUUGGAUAUUUGUAUACUGAGUAGAUGUAACCGACAAGAUGUAGAAAAUAUUCUUCAAUGGGCAUUCAGAGAUCCUUACAGGGCAAAUGUAAACUUCUGCAAAGUAAAAGACCAGAAGAUUACAAUUCAUACAACUCAAAUAAUUUGUAUAAUUGCGAUCAGCAUCUUCAUCACGUGGGUUAUUGUUGCAACAAUUCUUGAAACUCUAUUUAAAUUUAAUAUUAUUAAUGUAUAUUGCAAUAAAGGAGACUUUCUACACAGUUUUCUUGCAGUUUCGUUACAUACAUCAAUCCAAAAGGUUUUUAAUACCGACUUGAAUGACAAGACGAGAUUUUUUUGUGGAAUUAAAUGUUUACUUACCUACCCUGUUGUAUUUGUUCAUAUACU